Molecule: ribosomal RNA, 115 nt
Filed under: Prolemur simus (greater bamboo lemur)
Lineage: Eukaryota; Metazoa; Chordata; Mammalia; Primates; Lemuridae
Source: RNAcentral
GUGUAUGGCCAUACCACCCUGAACGUGCCCAGUCCUUUCUGAUCUCGGAAGCUAAGCAGAGUCGGGCCUGGUUAGUACUUGGAUGGGAAAAAUAACAGCAGCUAGGAUAUAUACU